RNAcentral lists this non-coding RNA (29 nucleotides) under Mus musculus (house mouse). The record is from RNAcentral. Lineage: Eukaryota; Metazoa; Chordata; Mammalia; Rodentia; Muridae.
GCCACAAGCCCAGGAGGGCCUACUUAUAU